UGCCAGCAGCCGCGGUAAGACGGACCGUGCAUGCGUUGUUCGGAAUUACUGGGCGUAAAGCGCGCGUAGGCGGCUUUUUAAGUCAGAUGUGAUAGUCCACGGCUCAACCGUGGAAGUGCAUUUGAAACUGGGAGGCUUGAGUAUUGGAGGGGGUGGUGGAAUUCCCGGUGUAGAGGUGAAAUUCGUAGAUAUCGGGAGGAAUACCGGUGGCGAAGGCGACCACCUGGCCAAAUACUGACGCUGCGAUGCCAAAGCGUGGGGAGCAAACAGGAUUAGAUA
This 279-nucleotide ribosomal RNA is filed under the name uncultured bacterium. RNAcentral describes it as "partial 16S ribosomal RNA". It matches the Rfam family "Bacterial small subunit ribosomal RNA", at positions 506 to 784 of the family's 1533-position model. The record is from RNAcentral.